AUGAACGCUGGCGGCGUGCCUCAUACAUGCAAGUCGAGCGAACAGACGAGGAGCUUGCUCCUCUGACGUUAGCGGCGGACGGGUGAGUAACACGUGGAUAACCUACCUAUAAGACUGGGAUAACUUCGGGAAACCGGAGCUAAUACCGGAUAAUAUAUUGAACCGCAUGGUUCAAUAGUGAAAGACGGUUUUGCUGUCACUUAUAGAUGGAUCCGCGCCGCAUUAGCUAGUUGGUAAGGUAACGGCUUACCAAGGCAACGAUGCGUAGCCGACCUGAGAGGGUGAUCGGCCACACUGGAACUGAGACACGGUCCAGACUCCUACGGGAGGCAGCAGUAGGGAAUCUUCCGCAAUGGGCGAAAGCCUGACGGAGCAACGCCGCGUGAGUGAUGAAGGUCUUCGGAUCGUAAAACUCUGUUAUUAGGGAAGAACAAAUGUGUAAGUAACUAUGCACGUCCUGACGGUACCUAAUCAGAAAGCCACGGCUAACUACGUG
Molecule: ribosomal RNA, 496 nt
Filed under: uncultured bacterium
Lineage: Bacteria
Description: partial 16S ribosomal RNA
Rfam family: Bacterial small subunit ribosomal RNA
Source: RNAcentral